Molecule: ribosomal RNA, 1477 nt
Filed under: metagenome
Description: bacterial SSU rRNA
Rfam family: Bacterial small subunit ribosomal RNA
Source: RNAcentral
AGAGUUUGAUCAUGGCUCAGGAUGAACGCUGGCGGCGUGCCUAACACAUGCAAGUCGAACGGACUUACAUUGAAGCCUAGCGAUAUGUAAGUUAGUGGCGGACGGGUGAGUAACGCGUGGGUAACCUGCCUUGUACUGGGGGACAACAGUUGGAAACGACUGCUAAUACCGCAUAAGCGCACAGCUUCGCAUGAAGCAGUGUGAAAAACUCCGGUGGUACAAGAUGGACCCGCGUCUGAUUAGCUGGUUGGUGAGGUAACGGCCCACCAAGGCGACGAUCAGUAGCCGGCCUGAGAGGGUGAACGGCCACAUUGGGACUGAGACACGGCCCAAACUCCUACGGGAGGCAGCAGUGGGGAAUAUUGCGCAAUGGGGGAAACCCUGAUGCAGCAACGCCGCGUGAGUGAAGAAGUAUUUCGGUAUGUAAAGCUCUAUAGCCGUUUCCAAUGACGGUACCUGACGAGGAAGCCACGGCUAACUACGUGCCAGCAGCCGCGGUAAUACGUAGGUGGCGAGCGUUGUCCGGAAUUAUUGGGCGUAAAGGGAGCGCAGGCGGGAAGGUAAGUCUAUCUUAAAAGUGCGGGGCUCAACCCCGUGAGGGGAUGGAAACUAUCUUUCUUGAGUGCAGGAGAGGAAAGCGGAAUUCCUAGUGUAGCGGUGAAAUGCGUAGAUAUUAGGAGGAACACCAGUGGCGAAGGCGGCUUUCUGGACUGUAACUGACGCUGAGGCUCGAAAGCGUGGGGAGCGAACAGGAUUAGAUACCCUGGUAGUCCACGCCGUAAACGAUGAAUGCUAGGUGUAGGAGGUAUCGACCCCUUCUGUGCCGGAGUUAACGCAAUAAGCAUUCCGCCUGGGGAGUACGGCCGCAAGGCUGAAACUCAAAGGAAUUGACGGGGGCCCGCACAAGCGGUGGAGUAUGUGGUUUAAUUCGACGCAACGCGAAGAACCUUACCAGGGCUUGACAUUGAGUGAAAGGACAAGAGAUUGUCCCCUCUCUUCGGAGACACGAAAACAGGUGGUGCAUGGCUGUCGCCAGCUCGUGUCGUGAGAUGUUGGGUUAAGUCCCGCAACGAGCGCAACCCCUAUCCUUUGUUGCCAGCACGCAAUGGUGGGAACUCAAAGGAGACUGCCGCGGACAACGCGGAGGAAGGCGGGGAUGACGUCAAGUCAUCAUGCCCCUUAUGUCCUGGGCUACACACGUACUACAAUGGGAUGGACAGAGAGCAGCGAAGCCGCGAGGCCAAGCGAACCCCAUAAACCAUCUCCCAGUUCGGAUUGCAGGCUGCAACCCGCCUGCAUGAAGUUGGAAUCGCUAGUAAUCGCAGGUCAGCAUACUGCGGUGAAUACGUUCCCGGGCCUUGUACACACCGCCCGUCACACCACGGAAGUCAUUCACACCCGAAGCCGGCAGGCUAACCUUUAUGGAGGCAGCCGUCUAAGGUGGGGGCGAUGACUGGGGUGAAGUCGUAACAAGGUA